Molecule: ribosomal RNA, 253 nt
Filed under: uncultured bacterium
Lineage: Bacteria
Description: partial 16S ribosomal RNA
Rfam family: Bacterial small subunit ribosomal RNA
Source: RNAcentral
UACGAAGGGGGCUAGCGUUGCUCGGAAUCACUGGGCGUAAAGCGCACGUAGGCGGCUUGUUAAGUCAGGGGUGAAAUCCUGGAGCUCAACUCCAGAACUGCCUUUGAUACUGGCGAGCUUGAGUCCGGGAGAGGUGAGUGGAACUGCGAGUGUAGAGGUGAAAUUCGUAGAUAUUCGCAAGAACACCGGUGGCGAAGGCGGCAUUCUGGACCGAUAUUGACGCUGAGGAGCGAAAGCCAGGGGAGCAAACGGG